RNAcentral lists this transfer RNA (74 nucleotides) under Bellilinea caldifistulae. RNAcentral describes it as "tRNA-Arg". It matches the Rfam family "tRNA". From Rfam's summary of the family: Transfer RNA (tRNA) molecules are approximately 80 nucleotides in length. Their secondary structure includes four short double-helical elements and three loops (D, anti-codon, and T loops). RNAcentral also lists the same sequence under 3 other names. The record is from RNAcentral. Lineage: Bacteria; Bacillati; Chloroflexota; Anaerolineae; Anaerolineales; Anaerolineaceae.
GCGCCCGUAGCUCAGUUGGAUAGAGCGUCUGACUACGAAUCAGAAGGCCGCAGGUUCGAGCCCUGCCGGGCGCA